ACGCCUAACACAUGCAAGUCGAACGAAGUAGCAAUACUUAGUGGCAGACGGGUGAGUAACAUGUGGGUAUCUGCCCUUUGGCCUGGAAUAACACGAGGAAACUUGUGCUAAUACCGGAUAAGUCUUUACGGAGAAAGCUUUAUGCACCAUUGGAUGAGCCCGCACUUGAUUAGUUUGUUGGUAGGGUAAUGGCCUACCAAGACUUUGAUCAAUAGCUGAUUUGAGAGGAUGAUCAGCCACAUUGGGACUGAGACACGGCCCAAACUCCUACGGGAGGCAGCAGUGGGGAAUCUUGCACAAUGGAGGAAACUCUGAUGCAGCGAUGCCGCGUGAGUGAAGAAGGCCUUUGGGUUGUAAAGCUCUUUCGUCGGGGAAGAAAAUGACUGUACCCGAAUAAGAAGGUCCGGCUAACUUCGUGCCAGCAGCCGCGGUAAUACGAAGGGACCUAGCGUAGUUCGGAAUUACUGGGCUUAAAGAGUUCGUAGGUGGUUGAAAAAGUUGGUGGUGAAAUCCCAGAGCUUAACUCUGGAACUGCCAUCAAAACUUUUCAGCUAGAGUUUGAUAGAGGAAAGCAGAAUUUCUAGUGUAGAGGUGAAAUUCGUAGAUAUUAGAAAGAAUACCAAUUGCGAAGGCAGCUUUCUGGAUCAUUACUGACGCUGAGGAACGAAAGCAUGGGUAGCGAAGAGGAUUAGAUACCCUCGUAGUCCAUGCUGUAAACGAUGUGUGUUAGACGUUGGAAAUUUAUUUUCAGUGUCGCAGCGAAAGCGAUAAACACACCGCCUGGGGAGUACGA
This 793-nucleotide ribosomal RNA is filed under the name uncultured Pelagibacteraceae bacterium. RNAcentral's name for it is "bacterial SSU rRNA". It matches the Rfam family "Bacterial small subunit ribosomal RNA", at positions 44 to 885 of the family's 1533-position model. The record is from RNAcentral. Lineage: Bacteria; Pseudomonadati; Pseudomonadota; Alphaproteobacteria; Candidatus Pelagibacterales; Candidatus Pelagibacteraceae.